Long non-coding RNA from Electrophorus electricus (electric eel), 672 nucleotides. RefSeq lists it as uncharacterized. Lineage: Eukaryota; Metazoa; Chordata; Actinopteri; Gymnotiformes; Gymnotidae. The record is from RefSeq and is a predicted model, not a curated record.
GCGAGGAUUUGCCUGCAGAGCUACGCGGCCCAGAUUACUGACAUAUUACACCAGGGCUCAAGUGGACAGGGUUAGUGGAACACAAUCAGAUAUCAAUUUGAUUCGGCCUAUCGGAGGAUUACACAACAUGACCAUCAAGGACUUUGCCAGAAGUCAGAACUGCCCAAAUGACGCAAGACGGUGCAGUCUUCUGCACCCAGCGUACCACACGCUCGGUUGAAACGGUCUUAAGUCACAAGGCACUCCACAGUCUUGAGCGGCUGGUGACGUGGUGAUGAGGUUGGGUGUCGUGGCUUAUGUGUACGUCUGGCAUACAUCCCCACAAGGGCAUGGAUCAGAGGGCAAUCAGGAGAAACCAAUAGAGUGAUUCUCUAUAUUCUCCAUCUUUUCCAGUAGGUCAAUUCAAAAUCAGGAAAGAAAUCUAAACCAAGCAAGCCAUGUUUAGCUUAGCAUUAAAAAUGUGCAAAUUCUCUUGCGUGUGCAACAUCAGACCGAGCAAAUUUUAAUUUUCCAGCCUCUCCUCCACUGCAUACAGAGUGCUAGAGCUUACUACCGACACUUUUAAACAUCAAAUAAACCAGAAGCACAGCAAAAUAAGAAAGCAAAAUAAAUAUAAAUCUAUUUAUUUAUUUUACAUGAGUGCUGUGUGGUUUUCAGCCAGCCGUUACUGGA